RNAcentral lists this ribosomal RNA (774 nucleotides) under uncultured Neocallimastigales. RNAcentral's name for it is "partial large subunit ribosomal RNA". It matches the Rfam family "Eukaryotic large subunit ribosomal RNA", at positions 23 to 645 of the family's 3401-position model. The record is from RNAcentral. Lineage: Eukaryota; Fungi; Neocallimastigomycota; Neocallimastigomycetes; Neocallimastigales.
AGAGAGAGACAUGCGCGCAUAUCAAUAAGCGGAGGAAAAGAAACUAACUAGGAUUCCCUCAGUAACGGCGAGUGAAGCGGGAAGAGCUCAAAUUUGAAAUCUUCAAGGUUCUACCUUGACGAAUUGUAGUUUAAAGAAGUGUUUUCUGUUGGAGUUUUGGUAAAAGUUCUUUGGAAUAGGACAUCAUAGAGGGUGAGAAUCCCGUAUUUGACCAUUAUUUCCAGCUUUGUGAUACACUUUCAAAGAGUCGGAUUGUUUGGGAAUGCAGUCCAAAAUGGGUGGUAAAUUUCAUCUAAAGCUAAAUACUUGGCGAGAGACCGAUAGCGAACAAGUACCGUGAGGGAAAGAUGAAAAGAACUUUGAAAAGAGAGUUAAACAGUACGUGAAAUUGUCAAAAGGGAAGCGUUUGACACCAGUGUUGUUUUCUCGAAAAUCAAUUAAAAAAGGCAGGAUUUUGUGUUGUAUUGACUUUAUCAGCUUUCUGCACUCUUUUCUUGUCUUUUUUAAUGCACUUUUCGUUUAACAAGUCAACAUCAAUUUCUUUUGUCGUAAAAGGGUCAUUGGAAGGUGGCUUUCUUUUCGGAGAAAGUGUUUAUAGCCUUUGGCCUCUGCAAUCGGAGAGAUUGAGGUCUGCAGCGUAGAUCCUUCGGGGUUAGAUACAUUUGUGCUAAGUUAUAGCCUUUCAUAGACAACUUGUUGACUAUGAUCAGUCAUGUAGCUUACUCGCUUAUGCUAUUUUACCUACGCUUAGGAUGUUGAUGUGAUACUGCGAGC